RNAcentral lists this long non-coding RNA (199 nucleotides) under Linum usitatissimum (flax). RNAcentral describes it as "long non-coding RNA (LUSI_LNC003530)". Lineage: Eukaryota; Viridiplantae; Streptophyta; Magnoliopsida; Malpighiales; Linaceae. The record is from RNAcentral.
CACAGAGAUUGAUAAGCGGAUUCUCCGGCAGUAGUUUAUAAGCUUCGAGGUAUUCUCGCGCCGCAUCCUGAUGGUGACUCACAGCAGUAAACUGAUGGCCGCUGAUUACAAUAGGAGGCACACAAUCUCUAUGCUUUGAUCGCAAAUAGCGCAUGAACUUUGAAUGCUUUGAAUGACAAGUGCGUUAGUUGGUUUGGGC